UCAGGCAUUUCUCAUUCAAGUACAUAGCCUACUCUGCCCUCUGUUGGAAAAAAACUGUACCCUACAUAGUCUUACGAGGCAUGGGCUAAUUCUUUACGACUUGACUUGAAUUUGGACGUGUUGUUUUGGGAAAAGUUGGAUUCGAUGUUACGCGAUAAGCUUCACCCAAAGAUCCUUAAUAUACAACCGGCUUUAUCAACCGUCUCUGCUUCACCAAUGUCAUUGCAAAAAGAACGUUCAAUUGUGAUGUCAUUUCCCUUUCCCACAUUCUGUGUACAUUCUGUGCAGAUUUAGAACACCUGUACUGGCCCUGGACACGGUGUUUUUCGGCCAGGACAGCUAAAUAUUAUGUGGAAAUUAAGAAUUGCAGCGCAUUUUCAUAGCCCACUUACGUCAAAUUGUGAUUUACAAACUAACUCGACAAGUUAAUUUACUUUUAGAUGCACAUGUUCCAUGCCCGAUUUGAAUAUUACCCUUACCAGAAUGAGGACAGCAUUAGGAGAUUGUUGGACAGCGAUGAUCACUCUGUUCACUUCCUGCCAGUGGUUGACACGACAAAAUUCAAACGACAGAUUUGCCUCCAGCUCAGCUGUCUGCUGUCCUUCCUCGGACAAUCUUGUGCCAAGCCCUCCACGCUGCACCACAACUUUGCGCGCCUGCCAGCGCUGUGGCCGAAAGCGCCACUUGAAACUAUGGCGACACCCCUGCGGUCAUUACUUCUGCCGCGUCUGCAUGGACACAAUCAUAGAUGCUGGCUUCCGGAACAUUGAGGGCCUGGACUCAAGUCCGUGCCCUUUGUGCAGAGCACAGGCGAUCACUGCUGUGUGAUUCUCCAAAGCUAUGCAGUUAGAUAGUGGGAGAAUAAGGACAAUAUUUUAGACAACGGUAGUAUGAAGGGGGAAUGAAAUGGUUAGCAAUAGAUUAGGCUAAAAGUAAGAUUUUUUUCUAUGUAAUGCUUCAUCAAGAAACUGUUACAUUAUUAUGGUGCUGGUGUGUAAUAAAAAAAAAAUGCUCA
Alosa sapidissima (American shad) is the source of this 1015-nucleotide long non-coding RNA. RefSeq lists it as uncharacterized. The transcript has 2 exons. NCBI's taxonomy places the organism in Eukaryota, Metazoa, Chordata, Actinopteri, Clupeiformes, Clupeidae. The record is from RefSeq and is a predicted model, not a curated record.